AGAGAUGAAUAACUUAAUCCUUUCUCUUAACAGCCUUCCCUAUCUCUUCCAUUUGAUUUGGUGUCUUUGCCAGCUCAGUAUAUAUUUAACAGAUAUUUCUUGGUGUAAAGACCUUAUUUGCUAAAAUAUUUGUACAGUAGUUAGGCAAAAUUAUGGUUUUUCAGCUGCUUUCAUUUCAAGGAUAAUGCUGCGGACAAGAAGAUAAUUUAAGUCAUUAUAGCCUGUCAACCAAGAUCUGUUCACUUUGACUUUUCAGAAACUGUUGCUUUUGAACAUUGGACUGUCUGGAAUGACAACUUCACUCAAUCCAAUGGCCACAUCUCAAGACAUUCCUGCUGUUCACAACUUUUCUUUUGUAUUGCAGGUACUUCUAGCCUCGUUUUUAUGGAUUAAGGGUAGCAACCAGGAUCCCAAAAAAAUACCAAGGUCUUUCCAGUGAGCCCCGUGAACGCCCGACCGAGAGGGGCAGCAUGUGGGCGGCGGCUGGUGGGGUUGGACCAGAGCCAUGCCUAGCCAAAACACGCGCUGGAGCGGGUCGCAGGAGGGUCAUCGCUCGGGGGCCCAGCCGAGACAUGGGUGCAGCGCCUGGCAGCAGCAGUGCAGCUGAGAGCAGAGGAGGCGGCGCACAGGGAGCUGAGCGGCACGGCCGGGCCCAGCCUGCACGGCCCUGAAUGCGACCCCGGCAGGAGCGCGCAGGCACGAGCAGCCCCGACGGCCCCAGCAGCCCUGGCAAUUCCAACACGGGAGCA
This is a long non-coding RNA of Corvus hawaiiensis (hawaiian crow), 749 nucleotides long. RefSeq lists it as uncharacterized. The record is from RefSeq and is a predicted model, not a curated record. The transcript is spliced from 3 exons. Lineage: Eukaryota; Metazoa; Chordata; Aves; Passeriformes; Corvidae.